GCGGGCCCAUGGGGCGCAGCAGUGGGGGAUAUUGCACAAUGGGGGGAACCCUGAUGCAGCGACGCCGCGUGGGUGAAGAAGCGCUUCGGCGCGUAAAGCCCUGUCAGCAGGGAAGAAAAUGACGGUACCUGAAGAAGAAGCCCCGGCUAACUACGUGCCAGCAGCCGCGGUAAUACGUAGGGGGCAAGCGUUAUCCGGAUUUACUGGGUGUAAAGGGGGCGCAGACGGCGAUGCAAGCUAGGAGUGAAAGCCCGGGGCCCAACCCCGGGACUGCUCUUGGAACUGCGUGGCUGGAGUGCAGGAGG
Molecule: ribosomal RNA, 305 nt
Filed under: uncultured bacterium
Lineage: Bacteria
Description: bacterial SSU rRNA
Rfam family: Bacterial small subunit ribosomal RNA
Source: RNAcentral